Molecule: non-coding RNA, 75 nt
Organism: Danionella cerebrum
Lineage: Eukaryota; Metazoa; Chordata; Actinopteri; Cypriniformes; Danionidae
Source: the annotation of a GenBank genome assembly
AUUUUCUUGGGGCUCAGUUGGUAGAUCAUUACGCUACAAACACAACGUUUGUGGGUUCAUAUCCCAGGGAAAGUA